CCGUGGGGAUUCGUCCCCAUUGAGAUAGCACCCUUUGUUUAUGAGCACCAUUUGUUUCCUCGGCGGGCUUGCCCGCCGCUAGGACCCCAAAUAAACCUUUUGUAGUAGCAGUACCUUCAGUAAAAAAACAAAUAUUA
This 137-nucleotide unclassified non-coding RNA is filed under the name uncultured fungus. RNAcentral describes it as "sequence contains ITS1, 5.8S rRNA gene". Lineage: Eukaryota; Fungi. The record is from RNAcentral.